RNAcentral lists this ribosomal RNA (840 nucleotides) under uncultured bacterium. Its description in RNAcentral is "bacterial SSU rRNA". It matches the Rfam family "Bacterial small subunit ribosomal RNA", at positions 79 to 901 of the family's 1533-position model. The record is from RNAcentral.
UCGGUUCCCGAGUAAAGUGGCGCACGGGUGAGUAACGCGUGGGUAACCUACCCUGGAAUCUGGGAUAACACUGCGAAAGUGGUGCUAAUACCGGAUACGAUCCCAUCGCAAGGUGGGGUGAAAGUCGGCCUCUCGAAGAAGCUGAUGUUCUGGGAUGGGCUCGCGUCCUAUCAGCUAGUUGGUAGGGUAACGGCCUACCAAGGCGACGACGGGUAGCUGGUCUGAGAGGAUGAUCAGCCACACUGGCACUGAAACACGGGCCAGACUCCUACGGGAGGCAGCAGUGAGGAAUUUUGCGCAAUGGGGGCAACCCUGACGCAGCAACGCCGCGUGGGUGAAGAAGGUCUUCGGAUCGUAAAGCCCUGUCAGGUGGGAAGAAUGUCUUCAAGGUGAAUAAUCUUGGGGAGUGACGGUACCACCAGAGGAAGCACCGGCUAACUCCGUGCCAGCAGCCGCGGUAAUACGGAGGGUGCGAGCGUUGUUCGGAAUCAUUGGGCGUAAAGGGCGUGCAGGCGGCUGAUCAAGUCUGAUGUGAAAGCCCGGGGCUCAACCCCGGAAGUGCAUUGGAAACUGACCAGCUUGAGUACCGGAGAGGAUGGGGGAAUUCCCGGUGUAGAGGUGAAAUUCGUAGAGAUCGGGAGGAAUACCAGUGGCGAAGGCGCCCAUCUGGACGGAUACUGACGCUGAGACGCGAAAGCGUGGGGAGCAAACAGGAUUAGAUACCCUGGUAGUCCACGCUGUAAACGAUGAGCACUAGGUGUAGCGGGUAUUGACCCCUGCUGUGCCGCAGCUAACGCAUUAAGUGCUCCGCCUGGGGAAUACGGUCGCAAGACUAAAACU